RNAcentral lists this unclassified non-coding RNA (249 nucleotides) under plant metagenome. RNAcentral's name for it is "partial contains small subunit ribosomal RNA and internal transcribed spacer 1". The stretch from base 1 to 46 matches the Rfam family "Eukaryotic small subunit ribosomal RNA", at positions 1786 to 1831 of the family's 1831-position model. The record is from RNAcentral.
AAGUCGUAACAAGGUUUCCGUAGGUGAACCUGCGGAAGGAUCAUUAUCGAGAGAGGGGCUUCGCGCUCCCGGGGGUUUCGGCCCCAACUCUUCACCCAUUGUCAAUUUACCCUUGUUGCUUUGGCGGAUUCCGGGGUAUGUCUUGCGUAGGUUUGUCAUAAACCCGUGCGAGAUGUGCCCCGGCGCCCGCCGGAGGCCCAUUGAAAUCUGCUUUAUCAGUGAUGUCCGAGUAAAAAACCAAUAAUAAAA